Molecule: ribosomal RNA, 305 nt
Filed under: uncultured bacterium
Lineage: Bacteria
Description: bacterial SSU rRNA
Rfam family: Bacterial small subunit ribosomal RNA
Source: RNAcentral
CCUACGGGGCGCAGCAGUGGGGAAUAUUGGGCAAUGGAGGCAACUCUUACCCAGCAAUGCCGCGUGAAUGAAGAAGGUCUUCGGAUUGUAAAGUUCUUUAAUUGGGGACGAAAAAAAUGACGGUACCCAAGGAAUAAGCCCCGGCUAACUACGUGCCAGCAGCCGCGGUAAUACGUAGGGGGCGAGCGUUGUCCGGAAUGACUGGGCGUAAAGGGUGCGUAGGCGGCAUAAUAAGUUAGAAGUGAAAUACCCAGAGCUUAACUCGGGUGCUGCUUCUAAGACUGUUGAGCUUGAGUGCGGGAGAG